UUCCUACGGGAGGCAGCAGUGGGGGAUAUUGCACAAUGGGGGAAACCCUGAUGCAGCGACGCCGCGUGUGGGAAGACGGUCCUCUGGAUUGUAAACCACUGUCCCCAGGGACGAAGAUGACGGUACCUGGGGAGGAAGCUCCGGCUAACUACGUGCCAGCAGCCGCGGUAAUACGGAGGAUGCGAGCGUUAUCCGGAUUUAUUGGGUUUAAAGGGUGCGUAGGCGGAUUUUUAAGUCAGCGGUAAAAUGUCCGGGCUCAACCCGGGCCGGCCGUUGAAACUGGGGAUCUUGAGUGGGCGAGAAGG
This 305-nucleotide ribosomal RNA is filed under the name uncultured bacterium. Its description in RNAcentral is "bacterial SSU rRNA". It matches the Rfam family "Bacterial small subunit ribosomal RNA", at positions 336 to 658 of the family's 1533-position model. The record is from RNAcentral.